GUUGGGUACGGAGAUAUGGUGCCGAAGACGUAUGUCGGAAUGUUUGUUGGCGCCCUCUGUGCAUUACUCGGCGUACUUACUAUAGCUUUACCCGUACCAGUUAUUGUCAGCAAC
This 114-nucleotide small RNA is filed under the name Mytilus galloprovincialis (Mediterranean mussel). It matches the Rfam family "Potassium channel RNA editing signal". Rfam says of the family: This family represents a group of sequences related to the human potassium channel Kv1.1 hairpin element which directs the efficient modification of an adenosine to inosine by an adenosine deaminase acting on RNA (ADAR). The ADAR modification causes an isoleucine/valine recoding event which lies in the ion-conducting pore of the potassium channel. The record is from RNAcentral. Lineage: Eukaryota; Metazoa; Mollusca; Bivalvia; Mytilida; Mytilidae.